This is a non-coding RNA of Solanum lycopersicum (tomato), 347 nucleotides long. NCBI's taxonomy places the organism in Eukaryota, Viridiplantae, Streptophyta, Magnoliopsida, Solanales, Solanaceae. The record is from RefSeq and is a predicted model, not a curated record.
AUAAUUUGAAAGAAAAAAAAAAUGGGUAAAUUGAAUAGUUUGAUAUUUUCCAUUCUCUUAGUUAAGUUGAUAGCUUCAUCAGGUUUGCUUCAAAUCGAUGGAUUAAAUUGUUGCACGGAUAAUCACACUGGACGUUGUGUUCCAGGCAGUAAAGAUGAUACAAAAUGCCAUAAUAUUUGCAAGAAAAAUUGUAAGGGAGGUCAUUGCAAAGUCAUUGGCAAAAAGCCUCCUAAUCAUUUUUGUCAUUGUCUUUGUUAAUAAAUCUUUUUAAAUUGUUGCAUAAAUAAUAACUUUGGUUACUUAAUAAUUAUUUUCGAUAUAAUGAUAUUGGAGAGAUGAUUGAUUGA